Molecule: small nucleolar RNA, 101 nt
Organism: Tachyglossus aculeatus (Australian echidna)
Lineage: Eukaryota; Metazoa; Chordata; Mammalia; Monotremata; Tachyglossidae
Product: small nucleolar RNA U13
Exons: 1
Source: RefSeq, a predicted model, not a curated record
AUCCUUCAGGUUCAUUCAAUAUGAUGAGUGGGUUGGCUCGCGCCUGCGUGAGAGGUGCCGCCCUAUUUCUUGUUACGCUCAGGCACGUGACCCUUCUGAUU